UAUCGAGGAACUCUGGCUUAGAUUGCCGCGUCCUGAGGCAACGAUUGCAUGACCUACAUCUUGUGGG
This 67-nucleotide small RNA is filed under the name Psychrobacillus sp. OK032. RNAcentral's name for it is "Bacillaceae-1 RNA". It matches the Rfam family "Bacillaceae-1 RNA". The record is from RNAcentral. Lineage: Bacteria; Bacillati; Bacillota; Bacilli; Caryophanales; Bacillaceae.